GACGAACGCUGGCGGCGUGCCUAAUACAUGCAAGUCGAGCGAAGUUUUUCUGGUGCUUGCACUAGAAAAACUUAGCGGCGAACGGGUGAGUAACACGUAAAGAACCUGCCUCAUAGACUGGGACAACUAUUGGAAACGAUAGCUAAUACCGGAUAACAGCAUUAACUGCAUGGUUGAUGUUUAAAAGUUGGUUUUGCUAACACUAUGAGAUGGCUUUGCGGUGCAUUAGCUAGUUGGUGGGGUAAAGGCCUACCAAGGCGACGAUGCAUAGCCGACCUGAGAGGGUGAUCGGCCACACUGGGACUGAGACACGGCCCAGACUCCUACGGGAGGCAGCAGUAGGGAAUCUUCCGCAAUGGGCGAAAGCUUGACGGAGCAACGCCGCGUGAGUGAAGAAGGAUUUCGGUUCGUAAAGCUCUGUUGUUAGGGAAGAAUGAUUGUGUAGUAACUAUACACAGAGAGACGGUAC
Molecule: ribosomal RNA, 469 nt
Filed under: Gemella haemolysans
Lineage: Bacteria; Bacillati; Bacillota; Bacilli; Caryophanales; Gemellaceae
Description: bacterial SSU rRNA
Rfam family: Bacterial small subunit ribosomal RNA
Source: RNAcentral